Danio rerio (zebrafish) is the source of this 117-nucleotide non-coding RNA. NCBI's taxonomy places the organism in Eukaryota, Metazoa, Chordata, Actinopteri, Cypriniformes, Danionidae. The record is from Rfam.
CGUCACAGCCGUAUCACCCUGCAGCCAAAGACCGGCUACUCACUGAAGCUAAGCAGGGCUGAGCCUGGUCAGUACCUGCAUUGGAGACCACAUGGGAACACUAGGUUGCUGUUGAAA